Molecule: long non-coding RNA, 210 nt
Filed under: Elaeis guineensis (African oil palm)
Lineage: Eukaryota; Viridiplantae; Streptophyta; Magnoliopsida; Arecales; Arecaceae
Description: long non-coding RNA (EGUI_LNC061667)
Source: RNAcentral
UCAAGUCAAUAUCGCUUCCUUUUUCGUGGAGUGUUCCCUUCCCGUGAAACCCUCUCCCUCUCCCUCUCCGAGCUCUCCCCCCUCUCUUCCCGUCGGUGAUCGCGUCUCCAUCACCAUCCAAUGCGGGCUUCCACUCUCGCGGGGAUCCACCGUCGUGGGCUUCUACCAUAGGCUUCCACCAUCUCUGGCUUCUACCUUGGGCUUCCACAG